RNAcentral lists this ribosomal RNA (519 nucleotides) under Laxotela plata. RNAcentral's name for it is "partial 16S ribosomal RNA". It matches the Rfam family "Bacterial large subunit ribosomal RNA", at positions 1809 to 2603 of the family's 2925-position model. Lineage: Eukaryota; Metazoa; Arthropoda; Insecta; Diptera; Therevidae. The record is from RNAcentral.
AAAAACAUGUCCUUUAGAAUUUAAUUUAAGGUCUAGCCUGCCCACUGAAUUAAAUGGCCGCAGUAUUUUAACUGUGCAAAGGUAGCAUAAUCAUUAGUCUUUUAAUUGAAGGCUUGUAUGAAUGGUUGGACGAAAUAUUAACUGUUUCAUAAAAAUUGAUUUAGAAUUUUAUUUUUUAGUUAAAAAGCUAAAAUUUUUUUAAAAGACGAGAAGACCCUAUAGAUCUUUAUAAUUUAUUUAUUAUAGUUAUUUAGAUAAUUUAAAUUAUAAUUGUUUAGAUUAUUUUGUUGGGGUGACAUUAAAAUUUAAUAAACUUUUAAUAUUUUAUUACAUUGAUUUAUGAUUUAUUGAUCCAUUAUUAAUGAUUAUAAAAUUAAGUUACCUUAGGGAUAACAGCGUAAUUUUUUUGAAGAGUUCAUAUCGAUAAAAAAGAUUGCGACCUCGAUGUUGGAUUAAGAUAUAAUUUUGGGUGCAGCAAUUCAAUAAUUAAGUCUGUUCGACUUUUAAUUUCUUACAUGA